GAGGUUAUCAUUUCUCUGUCUAUUUGAUGAUCAGAUGCUCAUUGCUUGUCAUCUGAAAUAAACUAGAUAGCUAGCUAGCUAGCUUAUUCAGGGUUCCUACCUUAGCUGCAAAAUGGAUGCAAUUUUAUUCUUUGUAACCUUGAUGGUAGUAACCUUUAAUUGGAAGUUAGGUCACACAACUCCAAUACAGUUAAGAUAAUUCUUUCAAGUUAGAAAUAUAGGGGGAUUUAAUUUGUCAGCUAUCUUUUUUUCCCCCACAUUUUGGUCAAAAUGGUAUUGGAAAAAAUAAUAAUAUGAACUAGAAGCACAAGUAAUAAUAAUAUAUUCAUAUUGAAAUUAAGGAAAAAACUGUUUGUUUUUUUUUCCUAGAGUUGACGUUUUAGCAAAUUGGCUGAUUUCCAAGUCUUGUACGUCCAGUAAUUCGAAUUGACUUGAUGAUUGGCAUAUGUAUACAGGGACAUCUGGAGGAAGAAAAAUUGGAUAGCUUCAAUGUUCCAAUCUAUGCACCUUCAACAGAAGAAGUAAAGCGCAUAGUUGAGGAGGAAGGUUCUUUUGAAAUUUUAUACCUGGAGACUUUUUAUGCCCCUUAUGAUGCUGGCUUCUCUAUUGAUGAUGAUUACCAAGGAAGAUCCCAUUCCCCUGUAUCCUGCGAUGAACAUGCUAGAGCAGCGCAUGUGGCAUCUGUCGUUAGAUCAAUUUACGAACCCAUCCUCGCGAGUCAUUUUGGAGAAGCUAUUUUACCUGACUUAUCCCACAGGAUUGCGAAGAAUGCAGCAAAGGUUCUCCGCUCGGCAAAGGCUUCUAUGAUAG
Molecule: long non-coding RNA, 810 nt
Filed under: Coffea arabica (coffee)
Lineage: Eukaryota; Viridiplantae; Streptophyta; Magnoliopsida; Gentianales; Rubiaceae
Description: long non-coding RNA (CARA_LNC000016)
Source: RNAcentral